GCGUCGGUGGUUCAGUGGUAGAAUACUCGCAUGCCACGCGGGUGGCCCGGGUUCGAUUCCCGGCCGACGCA
RNAcentral lists this transfer RNA (71 nucleotides) under Rhipicephalus sanguineus (brown dog tick). Its description in RNAcentral is "transfer RNA glycine (anticodon GCC)". It matches the Rfam family "tRNA". Rfam says of the family: Transfer RNA (tRNA) molecules are approximately 80 nucleotides in length. Their secondary structure includes four short double-helical elements and three loops (D, anti-codon, and T loops). The record is from Rfam by way of RNAcentral. Lineage: Eukaryota; Metazoa; Arthropoda; Arachnida; Ixodida; Ixodidae.